Molecule: long non-coding RNA, 1537 nt
Filed under: Sus scrofa (pig)
Lineage: Eukaryota; Metazoa; Chordata; Mammalia; Artiodactyla; Suidae
Description: lncRNA (ENSSSCG00040037404.1)
Source: RNAcentral
UGUUCCUUACAGUUGAUUCCUACUGUACAGCAAAGUGACCCAGUCUCACACAUAUGUAUAUAUUCUUUCUCACACCAUCUCCCACCACGUUCCAUCACAAGUAAUGGGACACAGUUCCCCGUGCUACACAGCAGGAUCUCGCCGCCCAUCCACUCCAAAUGCACCAGUCUGCAUGCACCAACCCCAAACUCCCAAUCCAUCCCAUGCCCCCCCCACCCGUCCCCCAUCAGAUUUUUAAACUUUAAAAUUUGUUGUAAUUUCUUUUCUCAUUCUAAACAACUGUUCCUUUUUGUACGCUUAAUUCACUGUUUGUAUCUUGUGUUCUUUUUAUUGAAGGUGAUGCUAAAGAUUAUACUAGCUUUAGGCCCCACAAAGCAUGGAUCCACCCCUGUCUACCAGCAGAGCAGAUGGGGGAAAGCUACUAUGGAUGGGAAAAAUCGAGGGACAGAGAACAAGAGUCUUAUUUCAGACCACAUUCAUCACAAAGAUUUCCUAGAUGCUUCCAAAGUGUCAGCAAAUCUGAGAACCAAUGAGUGAAAUGAUGACGAUGCAACUCAAACACCAAGGACCUAUGGGGGCCACCAGAAAGGUAGAACGUCUUCCAAGCCAGAAACAGGAAACCAGCAGUUUGGCUGGAGCUUUCUUGGUGGUAUUAACAAAUCUAAAGAUAGAAUGUAUCAACCAAAGGGGGCUGUUUGCAUGCAGAGAGAAAGUGGGAGUCAGAGGGGAAGGACUCGCCAAGGAGAGAGGGCACCGGUGAGCUGACUAGGACAUCCAGUUCUAUCGGUGUGGCAGGUGCACCUCCAAAAGAGGAGGAUGAAAGCAUGAGCUCAAGAAAACUUGACAUCCUUUGACAUGAAAACCAUCCCUCUCAUAUCCUCUGCUCAGACUGCCUACUCAAGCUGCGUCCUCAUGACCAUUCGCCUUCCUGUUUAGUUUCCUAUGGGUUCGAGGUGACACAGGUGUUUGUUCUGCUUAGAAGUUCUUCUUUCUCAUUGCAAAUGAAUGAAUCGGGAUUUGGGUUUAUCUAGCCGUCUCUCGAGAGCUUGACUGGUGUGAAUCUGUCCCUGAGAACCUGAUCCACUCUCGUGCAUGGCUGGGUCCGCAAAUCAAUUUCACCAAAGUGGUGCCAUCCCAAAAUUUCUAGGGCUUAGUGCAAUGCCAUUGUCAUGGUAGAGCUCCACUAGGUUGGGAGGUUCUGGAGAUGCUGGGGUUGGGGUCAGUGUUUUAGUCUUCUGUGUGUCCCUGAUACCCAGUUCAGUGCUGGGACAUUGUAGACAAGGGCGAUAGUCUAAAUAUUUACACCUGUGUCAGUGGCACUGCCUGUUCCACACAGUGUGAGCCUUCGUGCUGGAACAGAGUCCUGGAGACCCCCAUGGGGCCAGGUGGGAAUCUUGUAGGGUACACGGUCUUACAGAAUUCCGGGGUACUUGGUCUUAGGGAAUUCAAGAGGUACAGGGGGCUUGGUAUGUCUGGGGCAGAGGGAGAUACUGGGAAGGCUCAGGGUAGUAACAUUUUACCAGUCAGGAUGGAAGUA